UACGUAGGGGGCAAGCGUUGUCCGGAUUUAUUGGGCGUAAAGGGCGCGUAGGCGGCCUUCUAAGUCAGACGUGAAAUCCCCCGGCUUAACCUGGGAACUGCGUCUGAUACUGGAGGGCUUGAGUGCGGGAGAGGGAUGUGGAAUUCCAGGUGUAGCGGUGAAAUGCGUAGAUAUCAGGAGGAACACCGGUGGCGAAGGCGCACAUCUGGCCCGAUACUGACGCUGAGGCGCGAAAGCUAGGGGAGCAAACGGG
Molecule: ribosomal RNA, 253 nt
Filed under: uncultured bacterium
Lineage: Bacteria
Description: partial 16S ribosomal RNA
Rfam family: Bacterial small subunit ribosomal RNA
Source: RNAcentral